Molecule: unclassified non-coding RNA, 352 nt
Filed under: soil metagenome
Description: partial contains 5.8S ribosomal RNA, internal transcribed spacer 2, and large subunit ribosomal RNA
Rfam family: 5.8S ribosomal RNA (bases 1-120)
Source: RNAcentral
GAUGAAGAACAUAGCGAAAUGCGAUAAGUAAUGUGAAUUGCAGAAUUCAGUGAAUCAUCGAAUCUUUGAACGCACAUUGCGCCCGCCAGUAUUCUGGCGGGCAUGCCUGUUCGAGCGUCAUUACAACCCUCAGGCCCCCGGGCCUGGCGUUGGGGAUCGGCGGAGCCCCCCGUGGGCACACGCCGUCCCCCAAAUACAGUGGCGGUCCCGCCGCAGCUUCCAUCGCGUAGUAGCUAACACCUCGCGACUGGAGAGCGGCGCGGCCACGCCGUAAAACACCCAACUCUUCUGAAGUUGACCUCGAAUCAGGUAGGAAUACCCGCUGAACUUAAGCAUAUCAAUAAGCGGAGGA